Molecule: long non-coding RNA, 9012 nt
Filed under: Cucumis sativus (cucumber)
Lineage: Eukaryota; Viridiplantae; Streptophyta; Magnoliopsida; Cucurbitales; Cucurbitaceae
Description: long non-coding RNA (CSAT_LNC002191)
Source: RNAcentral
AAUGCCCCAAAGGUAUGUAUAUAUAUAUUUUGUUUUUAAUUUUAUAUAUAUAUAUAUAUUUUUAUACUUAAUUUAAAUAAAAAAGGAAAAGAAAAAGAAAUCUAUCUCUCUCUCUCUCUCGCGCGCACACAACCCCCUCUCAUUUUUCUUUUCUUCUCCUUCCGGUACCCUAGCAACCGCCCACCCACCUUCCCCUUCUCUCCGUUCGCAGCGCAGCAACCGCCAUCCCAUCCAUUCUCCUUCCCGUUCGUAGCAACCGCCGCCGACCAUCUCCUCUCUCCCUUCUCCUUCAUUUUUCUGGCGCCGCCGUUACCCAAACCCCCAACUGCUCGUCGCGGUUCGUCAGCGCCUCCCUCCUGUCCAGAUCCGCAAUCGUUCGAGCCACUUCAUCACACUGUCCGUCAUCUUCUGCUAGUCGCAUUGCUCGGAAAUUUGCGUUGCUCAGCUUGCACAAGUCUUCUGCCUCACGUUUUUGUGCCGUCGUGACGUCCGCAGCCGUUCCACACCGCCACGACUUUCCAUAUUCCAACUGAGGGUUUUGUUCCGCUUUCGUCAACCAUAUGCGCCGUCGCGCGUCUGUUCGUCGGCCGACAGUAAGGUAGCAUCGUGCUUCUUCUUCCAGCCGCGAUUCACAAACCGACGUACACUCUAAUCUGUUUGUACGAUCUUUUGUCGUUUAGGCUCGAUCGCCGUUGCCGCUAUUUUGUUGUGAGUUCUCUGAUAAGUGAAAUUGAUGGUUUCUACGUGAUGGAUUGUUAAGAUGAAAUAUCAAAUUUAAACGUUUGGUUAACAUUGUUCUUGAAGGUGUUGGAAGUAACGUUGAGUUCCUUGAAUUCACAACCAACUUGUAAUUUGUUGGAGUUCAGUUCGCUAAUACCUUGGUGUCUUUCAUUGGAUAUAGUUUGUUCGAGAAAUUGAGUUACCUUAAGGUAAGGGGUUUUCUUACUGGACUCACUUAUGAUUGUGAAUUGUAUGUCUGAAUGAUUAUCUUUGACCUGAGUAAAGAUGUUGAGAUGAUACUUAUGAAUGUACACUGUGGAUUGACUGAAAAUAUAUAUAUAUGCAUAGGAAUUGAAGUAGACUUAAUGUUGAAUGCAUAUUGUGAUCGUCAUGGAAUAUAUAUAUAUGUGUGUGGAUGUGGACAGGACGAAAAUUGUAGAUUAUGCUUGUAUGAGAUGCAGAUGCGAUCUUGUGAUUGUCGUUUAGAUUGUGGGUGUCGUUACGCUAAAGUAUGACUGUGUGCUGGUGAUCUGAGGGGUGUAUUGACUGUACAGUGGAUUGACUGAUGUAUUAGUAUUUUAUUGACAGACAUAUGAUUGUAGUAAAAUAAGUUGACUGUUUAGGAUGUUGAAGGAAAGGACUUUGUGAUUUGAAGUAACUGAAAGAUGGGUUGAAUGGAAUGAGGGGAUAAAUUGUUAGGUUGUAUUGGGAUGUUUACCUUGUAGGUGUCCCACGGGAUCACCAAUUUAUUUUGCACCUUCGGGAGCAUUUGACUGAUAUGUGUUUCUGCAGAACACUAGACUGAUAUGAACGUCCCUCUGGGCGUUAGACUGAUAUGAACGUCCCUCGGGCGUUAGACUGAUAUGUACGUCCCUCGGGGCGUAUAGACUGAUAUGUACGUCCUUCGGGGCGUUAGACUGAAAUGUGUAUCCUACGGGAUCACAAGACUGCGACUGUACAGGGUGUCCCAAUAGAACUUUAACAAUUUAUUUUCCCCUGACGAGACCAGUAGAGGGUCUCUUACUGAGUAUUGUUAUACUCACCCUUCUUAUGUUUAAUUUUCAGGCAAAGGUAAUAAAGGUGGCAAACCGGCGAGGGGCAGGAAGGAAGCGUGAUGCCAUAGGAAACGUGUAAUUGCUUCCGCUUAAUUAAGAUUGAUUUGAAAUUUAAUUUACAAACGUUUGUUGUAAACAGUAUUAUUUUAUGUUUUCUUGAAUGUUUAAAAAUCAGGCCUGACUUGAAGAUGUUUUUUUUUUUUAAUUUGCUUACGUUUUGUUUUAUAUUAAUCAAAGUCUUUAUUUUGUUAAAAAUUAACGAUCUCGACUUACUUAGAAAAGUUGGGUCGUUACAGUUGGUAUCAGAGCCUAAGUUUUAGGUUCUGUAGACUGACUUACGAUGUAAGUCUAUGUUUUUGUGUUCCUAUGGCUAACGCGACCCUUCGUCUCUCGUCAGGUAUGCUUUAUGCUUAUAUGUAUGGUUUAUGUAUAUGACCUUGCCUAAAUUAAACUAGAUUGCAUGACGAUAAAGACUUGCUUAUGUUAUGAUUAAGAUUUUGUUAAAGAGUGUUGUUGGUGGAUAAUAGGAAUUAUGCCGCCAAGGGAAGAAGUACGUAGAGGAGGUCGUAGAGGCCGAGGUAGAGGAGCAGGAGGCCGAGGUAGAGGAGUAGGUCGUAAUCAGCCUACUGAGGGUCAAGCUGAACAUCGAAUUCCUGCUGCACCCGUGACUCACGUCGAGUUUGAUGCACUGUCUGCUCACAUGGAGCAGAGGUUUACAGAACUUAUGACAGCCAUAGCUCAAAACCAGCAGGCACCUGCAGUCCCACCUGCACCUGUAGUUCCCCCUGCACCAGCAGCCCCUCCUGCACAAGAAUUACCUAACCAACUUUCUGCUGAGGCGAAACAUUUGAGGGACUUUCGGAAGUAUGACCCUCAGACGUUUGAUGGGUCACUGGAGGAUCCUACUAAAGCUGAAAUGUGGUUGUCCUCUGUGGAAACCAUAUUUAAUUACAUGAGAUGUCCCGAGGAGCACAGAGUUCAGUGUGCUGCUUUUCUACUGAGGGACAGAGGCAUUAUCUGGUGGAGGACUACAAUGCGCAUGCUAGGGUGGAGAUGUGAGGCAGAUUACCUGGGAUCAGUUUAAGAACUGCUUCUAUACCAAGUUUUUCUCGGCUAACCUUAGAGACGCCAAAAGCCAGGAAUUCUUGGAGUUGAAGCAAGGAUAUAUGACAGUCGAGGAGUACGACCAGGAGUUUGAUAUGCUGUCACGUUUUGCCCCUGAGCUUGUUAGUAAUGAGCAGGCUAGAGCUGAUAGGUUUGUCAAGGGAUUGAGAGAUGAAAUUAGGGGUUUUGUGCGAGCACUAAAGCCCACUACCCAAGCUGAAGCACUUGGCGUCUGGCAGUGGAUAUGAGUAUUGGGAAGGAUGAAAGACAGCCAAGGAGCUUUAAUAAGGGAGUCGGUUGGGAUGGUCGUCGUCGGGUCAAAAGAGAAAAGUAGAGCAGAGAACUGUAGGAGUUCCUCAGAGGAACUUGAGACCAGGUGAUCCUUUUCGCAGUUUCCAGCAGAGUUCUGGCGGUGCAGGAGACACUACUCAAGAGAGGCCAGUAUGUAAUACGUGUGGGAAACGCCACCUGGGUCGUUGUUUGAUGGGAACGAGAGUCUGUUAUAAGUGCAAGCAAGAGGGACACAUGGCUGAUAGGUGUCCCUUGAGAUCUACUGGGGCUGGAUCGAGCAGUCAGGGAGAGAGACCUCCACAGCGGGGUACAAUCUUUGCCACUAAUAGAUCAGAGGCAGAGAAGGCCGGCACAGUAGUGACAGGUACAUUACCAGUAUUAGGGCAUUUUGCCUUGACCUUGUUUGACUCGGGAUCUUCUCAUUCAUUUAUUUCAUCGCUUUUUGUGACGCAUGCAUGCUUAGAGGUGGAACCCUUAGACUAUGUUUUGUCAGUGUCUACACCGUCUGGAGAAAUUAUGUUGUCUAAGGAAAAGAUUAAAGCAUGUGAAAUUGAGAUAGCUGGUCGUGUGCUGGACGUAACCUUGUUGGUAUUAGAUAUGCGUGACUUUGAUGUAAUUUUAGGUAUGGAUUGGCUAGCUACUAAUCAUGCUAGUAUUGAUUGUUCUCGUAAGGAAGUUGUGUUUAGUCCCCCUACUGCAUCUAGCUUUAAAUUCAAGGGAGUAGGAACAGUAGUACUGCCUAAAGUAAUCUCAGCUAUGAAAGCUAGUAAACUACUCAGCCAGGGUACUUGGAGUAUUUUGGCAAGUGUGGUGGAUACUAGGGAAGUGUGAGACUUCUUUAACUUCAGAACCUGUGGUAAGAGAAUACCCAGAUGUAUUUCCAAAAGAUCUUCCAGGACUACCGCCACAUAGAGAGGUUGAUUUUGCCAUUGAGUUGGAGCCAAACACUACUCCUAUUUCUAGAGCCCCUUAUAGGAUGGCUCCUGCUGAGUUGAAAGAACUGAAGGUACAGUUACAGGAAUUGCUUGACAAAGGCUUUAUUCGACCUAGUGUGUCACCUUGGGGUGCACCAGUAUUGUUUGUGAAGAAGAAGGAUGGGUCGAUGCGUCUUUGCAUUGACUAUAGAGAGUUGAAUAAAGUAACAGUCAAGAACAGAUAUCCUUUACCCAGAAUCGAUGAUUUGUUCGAUCAGUUACAGGGAGCCACGGUGUUCUCUAAGAUUGACUUACGGUCAGGUUAUCACCAGUUGAGGAUUAGAGACCGUGAUAUUCCUAAGACUGCUUUUCGUUCGAGGUAUGGACAUUAUGAAUUCAUAGUAAUGUCUUUUGGUUUGACUAAUGCACCUGCUGUAUUUAUGGAUUUGAUGAACAGGGUGUUUAAGGAUUUCUUGGACACUUUUGUGAUAGUCUUCAUUGAUGAUAUUUUGGUUUAUUCCAAGACUGAAGCCGAACAUGAGGAACACUUACAUAAGGUGUUAGAGACUCUUCGAGUCAAUAAACUGUAUGCUAAGUUCUCUAAGUGCGAAUUUUGGUUGAAGCAGGUGGCUUUUCUUGGUCAUGUGGUUUCCAGUGAGGGAGUUUCAGUAGACCCUGCAAAGAUAGAAGCGGUUACCAGUUGGUCUCGACCCUCUACAGUUAGUGAGGUUCGUAGUUUUCUGGGUUUAGCAGGGUACUACCGGAGGUUUGUGGAGGAUUUUUCACGUUUGGCUACUCCUUUGACUCAGUUGACAAGGAAGGGAACUCCGUUUGUUUGGAGUCCAGCUUGUGAGGAUAGUUUUCAGAACCUUAAGCAAAGGUUAGUUACUGCACCGGUCCUUACUGUACCAGAUGGAUCUGGAAGUUUUGUGAUUUACAGUGAUGCUUCCAAGAAAGGACUGGGUUGUGUUUUGAUGCAGAAAGGUAAGGUGGUUGCUUAUGCCUCUCGUCAGUUGAAGAGUCACGAGCAGAACUACCCCACACAUGAUUUGGAGUUGGCAGCAGUGGUUUUUGCAUUGAAGAUAUGGAGACAUUACUUGUACGGUGAAAAGAUACAAAUCUUUACUGACCAUAAGAGCCUAAAGUACUUCUUCACUCAGAAGGAGUUGAAUAUGAGACAGCGAAGGUGGCUCGAGUUGGUAAAAGAUUAUGACUGUGAGAUAUUGUACCAUCCUGGUAAGGCGAAUGUGGUGGCUGAUGCUCUUAGUAGAAAAGUAUCACAUUCGGCAGCACUCAUUACUAGACAGGUACCAUUGCAUCGAGACUUGGAGAGAGCUGAGAUUGCAGUGUCUGUGGGGAGAGUCACCUCACAGCUAGCUCAAUUAACGGUGCAACCGACUCUGAGGCACAAGAUUGUUGAUGCUCAGAGUAAUGAUCCUUAUUUGAUGGAGAGACGUCGCCUUGUUGAAACAGGGCAGACUGAUGAGUUCUCCAUAUCCUCUGAUGGUGGGUUGAUGUUUGAGAGACGUUUAUGUGUGCCAGCGAACAGUACAGUUAAGAUUGACUUACUAGAUGAAGCCCAUAAUUCCCCAUUUUCCAUGCAUCCUGGUAGCACGAAAAUGUAUCAGGAUCUAAAACGAUUUUAUUGGUGGCGGAAUAUGAAAAGGGAAGUGGCGGAAUUUGUUAGUAAGUGUCUAGUAUGUCAGCAAGUUAAGGCACCUAGACAGAAACCAGCAGGUUUAUUACAACCUUUAAGUGUGCCAGAGUGGAAGUGGGAGAAUGUGUCGAUGGAUUUUAUUUCAGGGCUGCCUAAGACCCUGAAGGGUUUCACAGUGAUUCUGGUUGUCAUAGACAGGCUUACGAAAUCGGCACAUUUUGUACCAGGAAAAUCCACUUAUACUGCUAGUAAGUGGGCAGAGUUGUAUUUAACUGAGAUUGUGAGACUGCAUGGAGUGCCUGUAUCGAUUGUUUCUGAUAGGGAUGCACGGUUUACUUCCAAGUUUUGGAAGGGACUUCAGACUGCUAUGGGUACGAGAUUGGAUUUCAGUACAGCCUUUCAUCCACAGACUGAUGGUCAAACUGAACGUUUGAACCAAGUUUUAGAGGAUAUGCUACGAGCUUGUGUUAUAGAGUUUCCAGGUAGUUGGGACUCUCAUCUACAUUUGAUGGAGUUUGCUUAUAACAACAGUUUCCAGGCUACCAUCGGUAUGGCACCAUUUGAGGCUUUGUAUGGCAAAUGUUGUAGAACCCCUGUUUGUUGGAGUGAGGUUGGUGAACAUAGAUUGAUGGGACCUGAAUUAGUUCGGUCUACUAAUGAGGCUAUUCAAACGAUUAGAGCACGUAUGCAAACAGCGCAGAGUAGACAGAAGAGUUAUGCAGAUGUACGGCGAAAAGACCUUAAGUUCGAUGUGGGAGAAAAGGUAUUCUUGAAGGUAGCACCUAUGAAGGGUGUUAUGCGUUUUGAGAAGAAAGGAAAGUUAAGUCCUCGUUUUGUUGGACCAUUUGAGAUCUUAGAGAGGGUUGGUGUUGUGGCGUAUCGCUUGGCAUUACCACCAUCUCUCUCUGCAGUUCAUAAUGUUUUUCAUGUUUCGAUGUUGAGGAAGUAUGUGGCCGAUACGUCUCAUGUAGUGGACUAUGAACCCUUGGAGAUUGAUGAGCAUUUGAGCUAUGUAGAACAACCUGUGGAGAUUCUGGCUAGAGAGGUAAAGAUGCUUCGUAAUAGAAGCAUUCCAUUAGUAAAGGUUUUGUGGCGGAAUCAUCGAAUUGAAGAGGCGACAUGGGAGCGAGAGGAAGAAAUGAGGACUCGUUAUCCAGAGUUAUUUCAGGAUUAGAACUUUCGAGGACGAAAGUUUCUUAAGGAGGGAAGAAUGUAAUGCCCCAAAGGUAUGUAUAUAUAUAUUUUGUUUUUAAUUUUAUAUAUAUAUAUAUAUUUUUAUACUUAAUUUAAAUAAAAAGGAAAAGAAAAAGAAAUCUAUCUCUCUCUCUCUCUCGCGCGCACACAACCCCCUCUCAUUUUUCUUUUCUUCUCCUUCCGGUACCCUAGCAACCGCCCACCCACCUUCCCCUUCUCUCCGUUCGCAGCGCAGCAACCGCCAUCCCAUCCAUUCUCCUUCCCGUUCGUAGCAACCGCCGCCGACCAUCUCCUCUCUCCCUUCUCCUUCAUUUUUCUGGCGCCGCCGUUACCCAAACCCCCAACUGCUCGUCGCGGUUCGUCAGCGCCUCCCUCCUGUCCAGAUCCGCAAUCGUUCGAGCCACUUCAUCACACUGUCCGUCAUCUUCUGCUAGUCGCAUUGCUCGGAAAUUUGCGUUGCUCAGCUUGCACAAGUCUUCUGCCUCACGUUUUGUGCCGUCGUGACGUCCGCAGCCGUUCCACACCGCCACGACUUUCCAUAUUCCAACUGAGGGUUUUGUUCCGCUUUCGUCAACCAUAUGCGCCGUCGCGUCUGUUCGUCGGCCGACAGUAAGGUAGCAUCGUGCUUCUUCUUCCAGCCGCGAUUCACAAACCGACGUACACUCUAAUCUGUUUGUACGAUCUUUGUCGUUUAGGCUCGAUCGCCGUUGCCGCUAUUUUGUUGUGAGUUCUCUGAUAAGUGAAAUUGAUGGUUUCUACGUGAUGGAUUGUUAAGAUGAAAUAUCAAAUUAAACGUUUGGUUAACAUUGUUCUUGAAGGUGUUGGAAGUAACGUUGAGUUCCUUGAAUUCACAACCAACUUGUAAUUUGUUGGAGUUCAGUUCGCUAAUACCUUGGUGUCUUUCAUUGGAUAUAGUUUGUUCGAGAAAUUGAGUUACCUUAAGGUAAGGGGUUUUCUACUGGACUCACUUAUGAUUGUGAAUUGUAUGUCUGAAUGAUUAUCUUUGACUGAGUAAAGAUGUUGAGAUGAUACUUAUGAAUGUACACUGUGGAUUGACUGAAAAUAUAUAUAUAUGCAUAGGAAUUGAAGUAGACUUAAUGUUGAAUGCAUAUUGUGAUCGUCAUGGAAUAUAUAUAUAUGUGUGUGGAUGUGGACAGGACGAAAAUUGUAGAUUAUGCUUGUAUGAGAUGCAGAUGCGAUCUUGUGAUUGUCGUUUAGAUUGGGUGUCGUUACGCUAAAGUAUGACUGUGUGCUGGUGAUCUGAGGGGUGUAUUGACUGUACAGUGGAUUGACUGAUGUAUUAGUAUUUUAUUGACAGACAUAUGAUUGUAGUAAAAUAAGUUGACUGUUAGGAUGUUGAAGGAAAGGACUUUGUGAUUUGAAGUAACUGAAAGAUGGGUUGAAUGGAAUGAGGGGAUAAAUUGUUAGGUUGUAUUGGGAUGUUUACCUUGUAGGUGUCCCACGGGAUCACCAAUUUAUUUUGCACCUUCGGGAGCAUUUGACUGAUAUGUGUUUCUGCAGAACACUAGACUGAUAUGAACGUCCCUCUGGGCGUUAGACUGAUAUGAACGUCCCUCGGGGCGUUAGACUGAUAUGUACGUCCCUCGGGGCGUUAGACUGAUAUGUACGUCCUUCGGGGCGUUAGACUGAAAUGUGUAUCCUACGGGAUCACAAGACUGCGACUGUACAGGGUGUCCCAAUAGAACUUUAACAAUUUAUUUUCCCCUGACGAGACCAGUAGAGGGUCUCUUACUGAGUAUUGUUAUACUCACCCUUCUUAUGUUUAAUUUUCAGGCAAAGGUAAUAAAGGUGGCAAACCGGCGAGGGGCAGGAAGGAAGCGUGAUGCCAUAGGAAACGUGUAAUUGCUUCCGCUUAAUUAAGAUUGAUUUGAAAUUUAAUUUACAAACGUUUGUUGUAAACAGUAUUAUUUUAUGUUUUCUUGAAUGUUUAAAAAUCAGGCCUGACUUGAAGAUGUUUUUUUUUUUUAAUUUGCUUACGUUUUGUUUUAUAUUAAUCAAAGUCUUUAUUUUGUUAAAAAUUAACGAUCUCGACUUACUUAGAAAAGUUGGGUCGUUA